This 2733-nucleotide long non-coding RNA is filed under the name Homo sapiens (human). RNAcentral describes it as "HSALNT0139871". The record is from RNAcentral. Lineage: Eukaryota; Metazoa; Chordata; Mammalia; Primates; Hominidae.
UGAAACCAACAAUUGUAGAGAGGAAGUCAAAUGCAUAACUUCUACUUCUUGUACUUGUGGAAUCAGUUAAAGCUUGAGGGUUCAAUUUUGUUCUUGACCUCAAAUAGCUUAAAAGUACAUUAAAUUGUGAAUUUUCUAUGAACCAUUCAAAAAGACUUGGUGAUAUUUUGUGAUAAAAAUAUUAUAAAAUCAGACAUGAAGCUUGAUCAAAUAAAUGUAUUCAUGGAAGAGGCUCAGAGUUACUUAAGAGAUAUUAACUUGAUGAUAUUUUACAUUUAAUAAUUUAAGAAUAAAAUCACACAUUUAUGGGAAGAAACAUUAUCUUCCUUCCAAAGCUAAAAGGCUCCCAUCCAUCCAUCCAUUCAUUCAAACAUUCAUUCAGAAUUUAUUUAUCAUAGGCCUAUUAUAUGCCAGAAAGUCUUUUAGGAAUUGGGAAUAUAGAAAUAAGCAUAACAAACUCCUAUCUUUAUAUUUGAAGAUAUGUUACUUUUUAAUAAAGAGAGACAGAUAAUAUAAACUUAAAAAAUAUAGAAUAUGUCAGGUGAUGAUAAAUGCUAUGAAGGAAAACAAAGUAAGGAAGACAAAGAGUGAAAGGUAUUGGUAUUUUCUACAGAGUGGUCAGAAAAGGCCUCUCCAGGAAAAUAACAUUUGAGCAGAGGCUUUGAAAGGAGUGAGGGAAGAGUUAUGCAGAUAUCUGGGGGAAGACUGUUCCAGAGUGGUUGAGUCAGAGUGAGAGAAUGACAGUGGCAGGAGCUGAGGUUAGUGAGGCAGUGGGGGGUUAGCAAGUUGAAGGCAGAUAAUAUGGGGCUCUGUGGGCCAUCAUGAGGACUUCAGCUUUUACCUCGGCAUGAGAUGGGAAACCACUGGAGAAUCUAGAGGAGAAAGGGAUGAUCUGCCCUUCAACAGGAUCAUCCAGGCUACUCCGGUGAAUAUAGACCAUAUGAGGGCAAAGAUUGGAAGCUAGGUGAGCAGUUAGAAGGCUACUGCAAUAGCUAUGUGAGAGAGAUGAACUAGGAGAGUAGCAGUGGAGAUCUGAGAUACGGCAAAGUCUAGAUAUAACACAAAGGAAUAGCCGACAGAAUUUGCUUUUGGAUUGGCUGUAUUGUAGGAGAGAAAAAAUAGGGUGCAUUUUUGGGUUGAGCAAAGAGAAGAAUGAAGAUUCCUUGUACUGAGAUGGGGAAAACUGCAGGAGGAGUGGGUCUGAAAGAGGCAAGUUGGUUGCCAUGUUGUGAGCAGCCCCCUUGAAAGGCCCAUGUGAUGAUGAAUUGAAACCUCCUGUCAACAGCCAUGUGAGUGACCUAGGAAGCAGAUCCUGCAGCCCAGUCAUGCUUCAGAUGAGGCAUAUCUGAGGCACAGAGAGGUUAAGUUGGGGACUGAAGUGUGGCUCCAGAAUCUAAGUUUCUAACUGCCAUGCUAUGACUGACCCCACUGGACUCAUGACUCAUGGACUCAGCUGGUCCUGUGGCCCUACCCAGAAGUGGACUCAGCACACGAGGACCAUUUCCCACACUCCUGUGAUUUCAUCCCCAAUUAUUCAGCAGUACCCUUUCCAUAGCCCCUUGCCCACCAAGUUGUCCAUAAAAACCCUAGCCUCUGAGCUUUUGGGGAGAUGGAGUUGAGUAAUAACUCCAUCUACUGCAUGGCUGGCCUUGUGUCAAUUAAACUUUUUUCUUUACUGCAAUAACAUGGUCUCAGUGAACUGAUUUUGUUCAUGCAGGAGGCAGGAAAAGCCCCUUGGGUGAUUACACAGUGGUUCUCAAAGUAUGGACCUCCAACCAGCAGCAUCAGCAGCAUCUGGAUACUUGCUAGAAAUGGAAAUUCUCUGGCCCUAUUCCAGGCCUUCCAAGUUGGAAACUUUGUGAUGGGGCCCAGCACUCUGUGUUUUAACAAGCCCUCUAGCCUUAAGGAAAACAACUCUGAGGACUUUUGUCACGGACUUGAAAUUCUCAUCUGUGCUUGGACAAGACUCUGAAACAUACCAACUGUGUAUUUUCCUGCCUUUGGUAAAUCUGGAGCUAUUAACUGAUUCUAAAGAACAUUUGACUUAAAAAGACUAUGGAAAGCCCAAAGAAUAAAGUAGAUAAUGAAGACCCCAGUGGAUUAUUAUUAGCAAAUGAAAACUGGAUAUCAAGAAGGGCAAAAUCUUCAACCUUAUCAGCAGAAAGAGUUUAUGUAAAAAUAUACCACAUAGAAUAACUAAAAAAAUAAGCAAGUGAUACCUUAUCUGAGCUCAAAAUAUCUGUUUCUUUGCAAAUGGAUAAAGGAUUUAUUAUAUUAUAGCACCUUGAGGACAGAGACUUUAUGUUUCUAACUACCCAUCCCAGCAUCAUCUAGUUCAUUCCUAUGCUGAACAGCCCCUAACACAUUGCCUAAAUAAAUACUAACAUUAUAUGUGUGCAAUGAAGUAUUCUUUUGCUAAAAGCAAAACUUUCAUAUGGUCUUACAAUAAGCCACUUGUAAGACUAGUUUUAAAUAAUUACUGAUACAAAUGCUGCCACUGCCCCCAAAGAAACCUGAAUAAAAUUAUGUUAGGCUGCACUAAUUUCAGUGUCAAGCUAUUUAACUCUGCUGAUAGUCAUUUUUUUAAAGAUCUUUUGAUCUUUAAAUUGAGAGAGUUGAACUAAAUAAUCUUUUAGAUAUCUUCUAGUUUAAUAUUCUAAGAUUCUAGUAAAUAUAUUGUGUUUGGUCAGGUGUGGUGGCUCAUGCCUGUAAUCCCAACAUUUUCAGAGGCUG